GACGUAGGACGCGAGCGUUGUCCGGAUUUAUUGGGCGUAAAGAGCUCGUAGGCGGCUUGUCGCGUCGUCCGUGAAAACCUGCGGCUCAACUGCAGGCUGGCGGUCGAUACGGGCAGGCUGGAGUUCGGUAGGGGAGACUGGAAUUCCUGGUGUAGCGGCGAAAUGCGCAGAUAUCAGGAGGAACACCGGUGGCGAAGGCGGGUCUCUGGGCCGAUACUGACGCUGAGGAGCGAAAGCGUGGGGAGCGAACAGG
Molecule: ribosomal RNA, 253 nt
Filed under: uncultured bacterium
Lineage: Bacteria
Description: partial 16S ribosomal RNA
Rfam family: Bacterial small subunit ribosomal RNA
Source: RNAcentral